CAGAGAGCUUCUCUGAUCUUAGCAGGGAGAGGGAGAAGGUACAUUUGGCAUGAAAUAAUUUUAACUUUUACAAAAGAAUUCCUAGUUUCAAGGAAAAGCAUCACUUAUAUUAUUUUCCACUAUCAUCUGAAAAUGCAUCACUGCAUAAACCAUCCCAUAGUGCGCGUUAAAUAGGAGCUCGGGAAUAUUUGACAUCACACAGUGAUGGCUGGCUGAAAGCAACUAAAUAAAAGGUGUCCAAAAGAGAAAAAAACAAGUGAGUAAUUCAUUUUUCCACUGAAUAUCUGGGUCAUGGGAUUGUUUUAUUUCUGGGCUCAAAAUUAAUGCAACUGUCAUGACACAUUCUUAGUACUGUAAAAGCUAGAAUAGCAGUUUAAGAGCAGUUUCAUUCCAGGUCCCAGAGGAGGGAGGCAAUUUCGCAAUUAGUUUACACUGCUCUAACUUCCCUCUGGCAUGGAAAGGGGUGAUCUCCCUCUCACCCCUUACUGCAGGUUUCCAUCUUGUCUCCUGUGUUUCCCCACCAGCAUUUCUUCCCUGGGACCAGUUUUUGGUCGCUGCAUCAGAGAGGGCUGACCUGAUCACUAAGUACAUAGAAGCUGGCACUGCUGAGAGAGGAGCGAGAGAUGUGUCCCCUGGGGGUCUUGCCUUGGGGAAUUCCCACCUCACAGCCCUGCACGGUCCCUGCAAGCCAGCUCAGGUGGCCUGUGGCUUCUGGAGGUGCCGGAGGUGUCUGAGCCACAAGCAAACAGUGCAGCUGUCAACAAUUCCAUGAGAUGCAUGCUGCUGUUUCCUAGAAGAUACUCACUUAAGAAAAAACCCACAUCAGUGAGAAGGGACAACAAAAAGUGCAUCCAAUGGCAAGGCACUCGGAGCAACCUCAGCCAACAUACCAGGGCACUGAGCCUGGAUUUGGGGGAUAUUUAAAUCGUGAGUAAGUUAAUGACCUUGGAGGCGGAUCCUCGCUCCCACCCUGAGGGGAGCCCCCUGAGGGAAGGGAUGGUGGGACAGCAGCGCCCUGAGGGGACCUGGGUGCCCCGAGCCUGCCGAGGGAGGCGGGAAGGUGCCCGGUGCUCAGCGCAGGGCCGCGCUAACCUCAGGGCAGCUCAGCUCCGCACCACCGUCCCGCUCUUUUAUUAUAAUAACUGUUAUUAAUUGUCCUUUUCCCAGCGUCACUUCAAAGACCGCGCCUGCCCGCCGAGGGAGCCUCCCGCCCUCCUCCGCGCCCGCGGCCACCCCGCUGCCCCGCCGCCUUCCCCCCUACCUUCAGC
Phalacrocorax carbo (great cormorant) is the source of this 1268-nucleotide non-coding RNA. The record is from RefSeq and is a predicted model, not a curated record. Lineage: Eukaryota; Metazoa; Chordata; Aves; Suliformes; Phalacrocoracidae.